Molecule: ribosomal RNA, 429 nt
Filed under: Chloroflexota bacterium
Lineage: Bacteria; Bacillati; Chloroflexota
Description: Chloroflexi bacterium partial 16S ribosomal RNA
Rfam family: Bacterial small subunit ribosomal RNA
Source: RNAcentral
UGGGGAAUAUUGCACAAUGGGCGCAAGCCUGAUGCAGCCAUGCCGCGUGUGUGAAGAAGGCCUUCGGGUUGUAAAGCACUUUCAGCGGGGAGGAAGGCGAUAAGGUUAAUAACCUUGUCGAUUGACGUUACCCGCAGAAGAAGCACCGGCUAACUCCGUGCCAGCAGCCGCGGUAAUACGGAGGGUGCAAGCGUUAAUCGGAAUUACUGGGCGUAAAGCGCACGCAGGCGGUUGAUUGAGUCAGAUGUGAAAUCCCCGGGCUUAACCCGGGAAUUGCAUCUGAUACUGGUCAGCUAGAGUCUUGUAGAGGGGGGUAGAAUUCCAUGUGUAGCGGUGAAAUGCGUAGGGAUGCGGAGGAAUACCGGUGGCGAAGGCGGCCCCCUGGACAAAGACUGACGCUCAGGUGCGAAAGCGUGGGGAGCAAACAGG